UGGUUCGAUCAGAAGCAGGGAAGGGCGACCCCCAUUUCUCCAAAACCCUAACAUUCACAAAAGCCACAAAUUGAAGGCUCAAAUCAUGACCAAAUCGAUUUUCAAGCAUAAAUUAAUGAUCACCUAGUUGAGGAGAUCAUAAGGCAAGGAAUCCGGAACGUCAAGUGGACACGCCAGAGGUGAUGCUCGUGGAAAAGGUGUGCUUUAAAGGUAUGGAUGAGGACCUCUCGGAUGAUGAUCAAGUACAUUGUAAAGAACCGAACACGUAUUUUGAAGCUUCCGCACUAAACUAAAUCUUGUCUAGACUUUAAUCAUGUUGUAAAUGUUUUGUUAAUCGUGUUUUGAAUCCUUCAAACUAGUUGUUAGUUGACUAGUAAGGAUUAACUUUAAACUUGUUAUGCAUUAACUUAUGUUUGUUUUGGGUACUACAACAAGUAGGUUUGGUCUUUAAACACGAAAGUUUUUGUAAACUCUGAUUAGUAUUUAUUUAAUAUAAAUACUUAGUUAAAUUCCGUCUAAAUAUUAAGGGUGUUACACUACGGGCCUGAAUUCGAGCUUUAGAAACAAAGCUUGAAGGGGGCUCGGCUCAUUUGUGUUACUACUGAAUACAAGCGCUAGGUUACUUCCCAAUUAUAUUAGAAUAAAACCUAAACUCUAAUUUUAACUGUAUGUUUAACUAACCUACUUGCAAAAUCUGAUGAUGGUUCUACAUAUGUGGUUUACAAUAGUUGGGGUAGGGUUGGCAUAAAGGGUCAAGAUAAGUUGUUUGGUCUCUAUACCUGUAAAAGAUCCUCUCCAACCCCUAUGCUAACCUAUAACUUUGGCCAUAAAACGAAUCCCUGUUGAAGGGGCUUAUCCAUUUCCUAUAUUACAGAUUUUUUUUUUUGGUAUAGAGCAUAAAAUACUAAUAUGUUGUUGAUCUACAGAUGAAGUUGAAAGCCUCACUACAACAUAAAAAGCUGCUAUAUCCGGUUCAGAACCUUUAGGAGAACUUUUAGGACCGGUGAAAGUAACCUCAUUAAUGUCAAUAUUAAGGUGGAGUCACAAGCCAAAUAUGUUGAAUACUAAAUGUUCAGCAGAGAAUGGGCAGAUUGCCAUGGCAUUAUUCUAGAAAUUUUAUAACCUUUGAAGUUUAUAUGUAUAUUUUUUUUUUCUAGAAAUUUUGUUUAAUGAGUUUUUCUUAUUGAUCAGUGUCUUUACUAUGUAGAUAAAUCGGUUUAAAGUGGCAUUGCUCUGUUUAUAGAAAAGCGAUGAUGAUCUC
This 1261-nucleotide long non-coding RNA is filed under the name Helianthus annuus (common sunflower). RNAcentral's name for it is "hypothetical non coding rna". The record is from RNAcentral. Lineage: Eukaryota; Viridiplantae; Streptophyta; Magnoliopsida; Asterales; Asteraceae.